UACGGAGGGUGCGAGCGUUAAUCGGAAUUACUGGGCGUAAAGGGUGCGUAGGUUGUUUUAUAAGAUAGCUGUGAAAUACCCGGGCUUAACCUGGGGAGGUCAGCUAUGACUGUAGGACUCGAGUAAGGGAGAGGGUAGUGGAAUUUCCGGUGUAGCGGUGAAAUGCGUAGAGAUCGGAAGGAACACCAGUGGCGAAGGCGGCUACCUGGCCUAUUACUGACACUGAGGCACGAAAGCGUGGGGAGCAAACAGG
RNAcentral lists this ribosomal RNA (253 nucleotides) under uncultured bacterium. RNAcentral's name for it is "partial 16S ribosomal RNA". It matches the Rfam family "Bacterial small subunit ribosomal RNA", at positions 524 to 776 of the family's 1533-position model. The record is from RNAcentral.